Ictalurus punctatus (channel catfish) is the source of this 849-nucleotide long non-coding RNA. Lineage: Eukaryota; Metazoa; Chordata; Actinopteri; Siluriformes; Ictaluridae. The record is from Ensembl.
GAACAAGUUUUGUUAUGGUACUUUUGAUGAAAACUGACUUUCUAGACCUCAAAUGUCACUUUUUUGACCUUAUCAUACUUUUUCAUCAACUUUUGCAUUUUAAUGUAAACAAUCAUAUUUCGUAAUAUUUUGGGUCAGAAACAUUUCAUAGUACUAUAUUAUGUCUAACUAUGUGAAAAAAAUCAAAUUGGAGUAGGUCGGGCAACUGAUUAUAUGAGUUUGUUAGAAAAACCACUUUCCUUUGCUCCUAGCGCCUUCUCGUUCGCUCUAUAGCGUUUUGAGCGGAUAAAGAGCACAAGUGUGUAAGGAGACACAGGAUGAAUGCGAACUACUUUUGUUAUUGUACUUUUGAUGAAAACUGACUUUCUAGACAUAAAAUGUCACUUUUUUAACCUUAUCAUACUUUUUCAUCAACUUUUGCAUUUUAAUGUAAACAAUCAUAUUUCGUAAUAUUUUGGGUCAGAAACAUUUCAUAGUACUAUAUUAUGUCUAACUAUGUGAAAAAAAUCAAAUUGGAGUACGUCGGGCAACUGAUUAUAUGAGUUUGUUAGAAAAACCACUUUCCUUUGCUCCUAGCGCCUUCUCGUUCGCUCUAUAGCGUUUUGAGCGGAUAAAGAGCACAAGUGUGUAAGGAGACACAGGAUGAAUGCGAACUAGUUUUGUUAUUGUACUUUUGAUGAAAACUGACUUUCUAGACAUCAAAUGUCACUUUUUUGACCUUAUCAUACUUUAUCAUCAACUUUUGCAUUUUAAUGUAAACAAUCAUAUUUCGUAUUAUUUAGGUCAGAAACAUUUCAUAGUACUAUAUUAUGUCUACCUAUGUAAAAAAAUCAAAUUGGAGUACGUCGG